CUACGGGCGGCAGCAGUAAGGAAUAUUGCGCAAUGGAGGCAACUCUGACGCAGCCAUGCCGCGUGCAGGAAGAAGGCCUUAUGGGUCGUAAACUGCUUUUAUUUAGGAAUAAACCCCCGAACGUGUUCGGGGCUGAAGGUACUAAACGAAUAAGCACCGGCUAACUCGUGCCAGCAGCCGCGGUAAUACGGAGGGUGCAAGCGUUAUCCGGAUUUAUUGGGUUUAAAGGGUGCGCAGGCGGGCUAUUAAGUCAGUGGUGAAAUCCCGGGGCUCAACUCCGGAACUGCCAUUGAUACUGAUAGUCUUGAGUUUGGUUGAAGUGGGCGGAAUGUAGCAUGUAGCGGUGAAAUGCAUAGAUAUGCUACAGAGCACCAAUCGCGAAGGCAGCUCACUAAGCCAAAACUGACGCUCAUGCACGAAAGCGUGGGGAUCAAACAGGAUUAGAUACCCUCGUAGUC
This 458-nucleotide ribosomal RNA is filed under the name uncultured bacterium. RNAcentral describes it as "partial 16S ribosomal RNA". It matches the Rfam family "Bacterial small subunit ribosomal RNA", at positions 339 to 795 of the family's 1533-position model. The record is from RNAcentral.